CCUACGGGGGGCUGCAGUGGGGAAUAUUGGACAAUGGGGGCAACCCUGAUCCAGCCAUGCCGCGUGUGUGAAGAAGGCCCUCGGGUUGUAAAGCACUUUCAGUGAGGAAGAACGCCUGGUGGUUAAUACCCAUCAGGAAAGACAUCACUCACAGAAGAAGCACCGGCUAACUCCGUGCCAGCAGCCGCGGUAAUACGGAGGGUGCGAGCGUUAAUCGGAAUUACUGGGCGUAAAGCGCGCGUAGGUGGCUUGAUAAGCCGGUUGUGAAAGCCCCGGGCUCAACCUGGGAACGGCAUCCGGAACUGUCAAGCUAGAGUGCAGGAGAGGAAGGUAGAAUUCCCGGUGUAGCGGUGAAAUGCGUAGAGAUCGGGAGGAAUACCAGUGGCGAAGGCGGCCUUCUGGACUGACACUGACACUGAGGUGCGAAAGCGUGGGUAGUAAACAGGAUUAGAUACCCCAGUAGUC
This 465-nucleotide ribosomal RNA is filed under the name Vreelandella stevensii. RNAcentral's name for it is "partial 16S ribosomal RNA". It matches the Rfam family "Bacterial small subunit ribosomal RNA", at positions 338 to 795 of the family's 1533-position model. Lineage: Bacteria; Pseudomonadati; Pseudomonadota; Gammaproteobacteria; Oceanospirillales; Halomonadaceae. The record is from RNAcentral.